RNAcentral lists this ribosomal RNA (468 nucleotides) under uncultured Thermovirga sp. RNAcentral's name for it is "bacterial SSU rRNA". It matches the Rfam family "Bacterial small subunit ribosomal RNA", at positions 925 to 1382 of the family's 1533-position model. The record is from RNAcentral. Lineage: Bacteria; Thermotogati; Synergistota; Synergistia; Synergistales; Thermovirgaceae.
ACAAGCGGUGGAGCACGUGGUUUAAUUCGAUGCAAACCGAAGAACCUUACCUGGGUUUGACAUGUACGUGGUACGGAUCUGAAAGGUAAAGGACUUACUCUUCGGAGUGAGAGCGUACACAGGUGCUGCAUGGCUGUCGUCAGCCCGUGUCGUGAGAUGUUGGGUUAAGUCCCGCAACGAGCGCAACCCCUGCAUUCAGUUGCCAUCGGUAAGGCCGGGCACUCUGGAUGGACUGCCGGCGACAAGCCGGAGGAAGGUGGGGACGACGUCAAGUCAUCAUGGCCCUUAUGUCCAGGGCGACACACGUGCUACAAUGGCCGGCACAACGGGAAGCGAAGGGGCGACCCUGAGCGGAUCCCACAAAAGCCGGUCUCAGUUCGGAUUGCAGUCUGCAACUCGACUGCAUGAAGUUGGAAUCGCUAGUAAUCGUGGAUCAGCCAAGCCGCGGUGAAUACGUUCCCGGGCCUU